GAGACUCCAUCUCAAAAACAAAAACAACAACAACAAAACCCCCAAAACUCUAUACUGUGUAUAUUAUGUUUUUUUCUGAUCUGAUAACCAAGAUGGCUACGAAGUGACUAACAGGCAGGUAACAUAUAUAGAGUCGAUAUGCUGGACAAAAGGAUGGCAUGGGAUGGUGCAAGAUUUCAGCAUACUUGUCAGAAUGGUGCAACACUUAAAAUGUAUUCAUUGUUCCUGGAAUUUCCCGUUUAAUAUUUUCACACCACAGUUGACCAUGAGUAACUGAAACUGCAGAAAGCAAAACCUCAAAUAAGGCAGGACUGCCAUGAUGGUGGGGAUGCAGAGUGUUAUACAAUGUUAAUGUGAAAAGCGGAUAUUGAUUUUUCCCUUGAAAGAAUUGUUACUUGCCCUAGGGUCAGGGCAUGGAGGUGGAGUGGUACAGGGGGAUGGUAAGGCAGAGACGGAGAAGGGUGAUUCUGGGACAUUUGGCAGAGAAUGGAAACUUCAGCUCCCUGCCAGGCUGGGAGUGUUCUAGGGCAGGGGUGCUUUGGAAAUGGUGGCUUUGUGAGAAUGUAUUACCUUGAGGAGCUGCAGAAUUCAAGAGUGGCCAUGUCCUAGUUGGUGGGAAAAAGGAGGAUUUGUCUGGGGCAGCAAGACAGCAGUAAUGUCAACUGAGAUGAGGAUUGGGAUACAUCAGCCCCUGGGAUAUUGGGGUAGGAACUUCAGAAGAGGAGGGAAAUAGAGUGGUGAGGGAGGUUUGGUGAAGUUGGACCUAUCAAUUACAUUAGUUGUUGAUACUUUAUGGGAUGGGAGAGUCCUCUGUGGGUAAUCUGGAAGACUAAUAGUGGUUCUCAAAUUUUAGCCUGCACCAAAAUCUCCUAGAGGACUUGUUAAAAUAGAGUGCUAGGUGUGCCAUCCUGAGUCCCUGAUUUGAUAGGUCUGGGACAGAGCCUGAGAGUUUCCAUUGUUAACAAAUGCAUUUAAGAAAUGCUGAUAGAGCACUAUAUGAGAAACACUGGACUAGACAAAUCACAGCCCACAGGCCUAAUCCAGUCUACCUGUUUUUAUAAACAAAGUUGUAUUGAAACCAUGCUUUCUAGUUUGAACUUUUUUUUUUCAUAAGAUGAUACUCCUUUUAUGCAAGUUCCAUUAAUUUUUAUACAUUUCAUUGCUCAUAAGUUUUAAACUCCUGGUAGUGAUAGCAAUCAGAUUUAUAGAAGUAAGAUUUAUUAUGAAGUUAGGUAGCCUGUGUCUAUUAAUGCCACUGAAUUGCUGGCUAUUUUGAAAAUUGAGAUGUCAGUAUUACAGAUGACUUGAAAUACAAGGUAUCUUUUAUAUGCUUAUAAAGAUGGAAAGAAGCUUUGCAUUUAGCAUUUUCCACUUAGUCUUUGUGAAAACUGUUCUUAUUUUAAAAAUAGCCUUAAUGUGUGUGUGUGUGUGUGUGUGUGUGUAUGUGUGUGUUUCCUGAAUAUUCUAGAUGGUACAUGGUAUUCUGAAAACUGAAAGUCACACCUCCAGGAAUAAAAUUAGGAAAAGUAGAAAUUGGAAGGAGGUCUCUAGAAAUGAUGUAAUAUUAUCUGAAUACCUCAAAUCUAAUCCAGGUCAUCUGGGUAGAAAUUCUGGGAUGGAUUUAUUUAAAUAUAAAUAAAAAUUUGUAUACCUAAAUAAAGAUUGUAUUCUACAUUUGAAGAAAGAGGUUUUUUUUUUUUUUUUAGAGUAAGAGGUGGUUGGCAUGCAUCUAUGAAAGGAAGGAAUUCAAAGUGUGUAGAAUUGGCAAUGUCUCUGGAGAGCAUGCAUUUGCUAUUGGGUGCCAGCCAUUAAGAUGAUCUCAUUCAUUUCUCCUCUGAUUCUGUGAUAGUUAAGUAAUUUUUGGAUCAUAUUUGGCUUCACAUUUGGAUUUGCCUAUAGGAAGAAAAAUGCUGAUUAGUAAAUAGAGGAAGCUGUCUACUUGGUAGUUACAUCUCUCCCCAUGAAUGAUUUUUAUGCAUAAAACCCUAAGAGCUUGGUGAAUUUUUAAACCACCCAGGAUUCAGAUCUUUUUUUUUUUGUACUGAUAGUCACCUCUUACCUUGCAAGACUGAAGGCUGGAUCCCACACUGUGGUCAACAAAUUGAAGUGUUGCUGCGGGGGUCCAGUCAGGGUGACCAACUGACCUAUCUUAGGUAACAUUUAAUUUUAUUGGCCAUAUUUUAAAUUUAAGUUGUCAUUAUUACAACUUAAAUUGUAGAGAACGAGUAGAAUACUAGUAAACUAGGAAAAGGAAGUCUUUCUUGUAGAAAACUAGGAAAAGACAAAGAAGUCUAUUGACAACAGGGAAUAGGCUGGAGAUGAGGACCUGACCCAAGCUGGACCAAUUAGAACCCUUCCUUGGGAGUUUUGAAGCCAAUCUGCCAAGAAAAAAAAAAAAUCCGCUAAUCUACAGAGCGAAGCACAGAUGAAGAUGGACAACAAACACCCUGCCUGCAGUCCAUAUAUUCCCGAGGACCAGGUUUUUGCCAAGUUGCCCAGGCUGGACCAUUGACAUUUUAAGAAAUGUAUGCAUGUCCCUAAAAGGGGAGGUCAGUUUGGGAUCCUCCGUCAUGGAUGAUCCUUUGAAGGAGGAAGACGUCAUCACUAGCAGAAUGGGCUGCACCGCCUGUGUUGUGUGGAUCAGCGUGAUGGAUGGGGAGGAGACCUGAAGAUGCUGCAAUGGCAAAUUUGCUCUACCUGGAGAUGCUGGAUGUCCCUAGAUAUAAAGACCCACAAAAGGAUGCUGGAAGGGCAUGGCUGGAUAGGGGUGGGGUGAAGGAGGAGCUGCAGAUGAGGAAGGAGUCAAGGUGUAGAAUUUGUCUCAAAUUAUUCUUCAAAGCUUCUCAGGUAGGAUUUGGGCAUUUGGGUGCAUUUCUAGAUGCUUCAGUCAGUUGAAGAAAACUGGGGAAACAAAGGUGCCCACAUGACAUGGUGCAUUUGGGUUGUGUCUGUCACCUCACCUUGAGGUUCCCAUGCAUUGAUCUUCUAUUCUCAGUCCAAACAACUUUCAGCCCAAGUAGCACCCUAGCAAUUAAUUGUCCAAAUUCUACCUCGUUGUCUUUCUACCUAGCCACAGAUUUCCUCCCCUCUCAGCUCAAAUGUUUCUUCAAACCAGCAUGUGUGGAGGGAGAGAGGUGGAGGAAGGCAAUGUGCCAUCUUUGUGGCCCAUGUUGAAGAUUUUCCAGGGUACAGGGUAGUGCCACAAUCUCUAGAUGUACAUUAAGGGCUCUGGCUUCCACAUCUAUUUCUGUAGUAACUUUCUGUGCAACCUCUUGUCAUCAUUUCUCUUCUUCAUGCUCUAAUUUACUUUUCUGUAAAACAAGCUGGAGCUGGAACAGAGUUUCAAGCUUUUUUUUUUUUUUUUCUUUGGGACAGAGUCUUGCUCCUUCGCCCAGGCUAGAGUACAGUGGUGCAGUCUCAG
Molecule: non-coding RNA, 3421 nt
Organism: Chlorocebus sabaeus (green monkey)
Lineage: Eukaryota; Metazoa; Chordata; Mammalia; Primates; Cercopithecidae
Source: RefSeq, a predicted model, not a curated record